GGUCCCCUGUCCUCAGUUCCAUGGAAAACUGUUAGUUUUAUCAUUACUACAGUUGUAAUCUCUCAAAAACACAUUAUUUGUGUUUGAUUUCUUUUUCAAUAUUGCCAAAGUAGGGGAGGUAACUCAGAUAAAGUGAUUUUUAUCAACGAAAGUGUUGUGAAUUCUCCUAAUUGAUAUGAAGCGAGAAAGCAAGUUCAGUGACCCAUUUUUCUUUUUCUUAUCUGAGAGAAUGUUUUAAGAGCUAUCUUCUCACAUUUUAUCUUUAAGUUCUAUCAAGAAGUUUUCUUUUUAUUACACAACAUUUGAUUUUCCAUGAAUAAUCUUUCAAAAAUCUGACAACUUUGAACAACCUGUAGCAUAAAAAGGGCCGAUGACCCAUACUUUUUAUUAUAUUUUUGAAAAAAAA
Molecule: long non-coding RNA, 406 nt
Filed under: Mytilus galloprovincialis (Mediterranean mussel)
Lineage: Eukaryota; Metazoa; Mollusca; Bivalvia; Mytilida; Mytilidae
Source: RNAcentral